UAAAUGGCAUUAAAUGAGCGAAGC
Molecule: non-coding RNA, 24 nt
Filed under: Cricetulus griseus (Chinese hamster)
Lineage: Eukaryota; Metazoa; Chordata; Mammalia; Rodentia; Cricetidae
Source: RNAcentral